RNAcentral lists this ribosomal RNA (292 nucleotides) under uncultured bacterium. RNAcentral describes it as "partial 16S ribosomal RNA". It matches the Rfam family "Bacterial small subunit ribosomal RNA", at positions 505 to 796 of the family's 1533-position model. The record is from RNAcentral.
GUGCCAGCCGCCGCGGUAAUACGUAGGUGGCAAGCGUUAUCCGGAAUUACUGGGCGUAAAGCGCACGCAGGCGGCUCGUCAAGUUCGACGUGAAAGCUCCCGGCUUAACUGGGAGAGGUCGUUGAAAACUGGCGAGCUUGAGGCAAUGAGAGGGGUGUAGAAUUCCCGGUGUAGUGGUGGAAUGCGUAGAUAUCGGGAGGAAUACCAGUGGCGAAAGCGGCACCCUAGCGUUGUUCUGACGCUCAUGUGCGAAAGCGUGGGGAGCGAACGGGAUUAGAAACCCGCGUAGUCC